Molecule: ribosomal RNA, 253 nt
Filed under: uncultured prokaryote
Description: partial 16S ribosomal RNA
Rfam family: Bacterial small subunit ribosomal RNA
Source: RNAcentral
UACGGAGGGGGCGAGCGUUAUUCGGAAUUAUUGGGCGUAAAGGGCGCGUAGGCGGCUUCAUAAGUCAAAGGUGAAAUCCCUCGGCUCAACUGAGGAACUGCCUUUGAAACUGUGAGGCUUGAGGCCGGGAGGGGGGACUGGAAUUCUCGGUGUAGCAGUGAAAUGCGUAGAUAUCGAGAGGAACACCAGUGGCGAAGGCGAGUCCCUGGACAACACCUGACACUGAGGCACGAAAGCUAGGGGAGCAAACAGG